UCGAGGAUUACCGGGCCAUUUCUCCUUGGGCAGAGUAAUUGAAUUUUACUUUGCUGGAUCCGGUUUGCUCUGCCAAAGGAGAUUUGCCCAGCAAUCCACAU
This 101-nucleotide microRNA precursor is filed under the name Sorghum bicolor (sorghum). RNAcentral's name for it is "mir-399 microRNA precursor family". It matches the Rfam family "mir-399 microRNA precursor family". Rfam says of the family: mir-399 was identified in both Arabidopsis thaliana and Oryza sativa computationally and was later experimentally verified. mir-399 is thought to target mRNAs coding for a phosphatase transporter. The mature sequence is excised from the 3' arm of the hairpin. Lineage: Eukaryota; Viridiplantae; Streptophyta; Magnoliopsida; Poales; Poaceae. The record is from Rfam by way of RNAcentral.